CUUCUCGCGUGGUGGCUUCUCUCGUUGCAGAGCGUGGGCUCUAGAGCACAGGCUCAGUAAUCGUGAUGCACGGGCUUAGCUGCCCUGUGGCAUGUGGAACCUUCCCGACCAGGGAUCAAACCCCUGUCACCUGCAUUGGCAGGCAGAUUCUUAACCACUGAACUACUAGAGAAGUCCAAGAAGCAUUUCUUAAUCACUCUUUAAUUUUGCUCUUCCUCACGGCCUUCACUCCAGGCCAAGCCACAUCCACGGACGCAUUCUCUUCACUCUCUGAAAUCACUUCAAUUACUCAUUGGUUCCCUUAGCCUCUGUCUUCCUGCUCCAGACAUCAGUAUCCUGAGAGCAGGCCUCCACCAUGAUGCUCAUCCAACACACUCAGCCACCUGGAAAGCACCUGGUACCCAGUAAGUGAACCACAAGUAUUAAUCUGGAGCCUCCCUGGGGGGAAAACUCCAGAUUCUUCACUGUUCCUCACUCCCGCCUGCUAUCAGAGGCCUGUUCUGAAAUCUGAUCCUGGGUUGCUACUAAGCACUGUGCAUUGUCCCCCAGGGAAAGGGAGAGAAGCUGAAACCGACUCACUUGAUUAUGGAGGCUAAGAAGAGGAGACCCAAGAAAGCCAGUGAUGUAACUCCAGUCCAAGUCUGAAGACCGGAGAACCAGGAGUGCCUAUGGUAUAAGUCCUGAUCCAAGGACAGGAGGGGGCUUCCUUGGUGGUUCAGACGUAAAGAAUCUGCCUGCUAUGUGAGAGACCCAGGUUUGAUGCCUGAGUUGAGAAGAUCCCCUGGAGUAGGAA
Molecule: long non-coding RNA, 793 nt
Organism: Bos taurus (domestic cattle)
Lineage: Eukaryota; Metazoa; Chordata; Mammalia; Artiodactyla; Bovidae
Source: Ensembl